Long non-coding RNA from Scophthalmus maximus (turbot), 649 nucleotides. RefSeq lists it as uncharacterized. NCBI's taxonomy places the organism in Eukaryota, Metazoa, Chordata, Actinopteri, Pleuronectiformes, Scophthalmidae. The record is from RefSeq and is a predicted model, not a curated record. The transcript has 2 exons.
CUCGCAGCUGUUUGCACACCUCUCACCUACAGCAGCAGAGAGGCGACUGCGGGAUUUCGGGCAGCAGCGGUCGAGAAAAGAGAGGCCAGGCUAGUGUCUUCUUUGAUAUGAUUUUAAUGGUGACUCUCACUGACAGCUCCGUCAGACCAGCUCGUGUGUUAGCCGGGGCUGUGUUGCAGUGCUGGGUGGGAUCUUACCGACACAAUCCUCCUGCUUGUUUUCCGCCUGGCACCGGAGACACGCGUCUGCAGAUCAAGAAACACGCGUGUCAGUAGUCAGUGUGCUGGGACCUCAAGUUAUUCGUGGGGUGUGUGUGUGUGUGUGUGUGUGUGUGUGUAUAUGCAGCUCUAGCCGCAUUAGCCAGCAUUCGAGCUAAGCUAAGCUAAGCUAUGCUAAGCUAAGCUAGCCGUCCAACCGCCGACACUCACCCAUCACCUGCACCCGGCAGAUGGCACAGGUGUCGCACUCCACGUCCCAGCUCCACAUCGCCACAGCGUUCCACUUCUUCAGGGAGAACAUCUUGUCCCCGCCCGACUUGGAGCCCGAGGAGGUGUUGUGGGUGUUGUGGGUGUUGUGGGAGAGGACCAGACCCGGCUCCUCGCCGUCAUCCAUCUCUGCUGCUCGGCACUGCAAGGGGGUAACGUUAGCC